CAGUCUUGGCUGAGUGGUUAAAGCGUGUGCCUGCUAAGUACAUGGAUAUUUUCCUCGUGAGUUCGAAUCUCACAGACUGCGA
This 82-nucleotide transfer RNA is filed under the name Amorphochlora amoebiformis. RNAcentral's name for it is "tRNA-Ser". It matches the Rfam family "tRNA". Rfam says of the family: Transfer RNA (tRNA) molecules are approximately 80 nucleotides in length. Lineage: Eukaryota; Cercozoa; Chlorarachniophyceae. The record is from RNAcentral.